AAGUCGUAACAAGGUUUCCGUAGGUGAACCUGCGGAAGGAUCAUUAAUGAAAUGAUAAUUUUUUGGGGUUUUUUAAAUUCCAAAAAAUAAUUCACCUUUUGUGCAUUGUUAUUAGAUAUACUUUGGUUAGAGCUUUGAUUUCAUUUAAUGGAAUCAACUUCUUGCUGACUCUAUCCUUUCUGAGGACAGUUGGCUAUGAAGCGGCCUACCAAGGUUUUUUAUCAAACACAUUUAAUUUAUCUGACCUAAAUCAUUAUAAUAAAUCAUAACUUUCAACAACGGAUCUCUUGGCUCUC
This 296-nucleotide unclassified non-coding RNA is filed under the name fungal sp. RNAcentral's name for it is "partial internal transcribed spacer region". The stretch from base 1 to 46 matches the Rfam family "Eukaryotic small subunit ribosomal RNA", at positions 1786 to 1831 of the family's 1831-position model. Lineage: Eukaryota; Fungi. The record is from RNAcentral.